AGGUGACCUGCGGAGGGAUCAUUACACAAAUAUGAAGGCGGGCUGGAACCUCUCGGGGUUACAGCCUUGCUGAAUUAUUCACCCUUGUCUUUUGCGUACUUCUUGUUUCCUUGGUGGGUUCGCCCACCACUAGGACAAACAUAAACCUUUUGUAAUUGCAAUCAGCGUCAGUAACAAAUUAAUAAUUACAACUUUCAACAACGGAUCUCUUGGUUCUGGCAUCGAUGAAGAACGCAGCGAAAUGCGAUAAGUAGUGUGAAUUGCAGAAUUCAGUGAAUCAUCGAAUCUUUGAACGCACAUUGCGCCCUUUGGUAUUCCAAAGGGCAUGCCUGUUCGAGCGUCAUUUGUACCCUCAAGCUUUGCUUGGUGUUGGGCGUCUUGUCUCUAGCUUUGCUGGAGACUCGCCUUAAAGUAAUUGGCAGCCGGCCUACUGGUUUCGGAGCGCAGCACAAGUCGCACUCUCUAUCAGCAAAGGUCUAGCAUCCAUUAAGCCUUUUUUUCAACUUUUGACCUCGGAUCAGGUAGGGAUACCCGCUGAAC
RNAcentral lists this ribosomal RNA (540 nucleotides) under uncultured fungus. RNAcentral describes it as "eukaryotic LSU rRNA". The stretch from base 190 to 343 matches the Rfam family "5.8S ribosomal RNA". Lineage: Eukaryota; Fungi. The record is from RNAcentral.